CUCUCUUUGUUAAUAAUAAAUAAGGAGUUGGGCCUGCUCGGUGAAUAUUUUUUAACAGCUGCGGUAUUUUAACUGUACUAAGGUAGCAUAAUAAUUUGCCUUAUAAUUUGAGGCUAGAAUGAAUGGUUUGACGAAGGUUAAUCUGUCUCGUUUUAUUUUUUAGAAAUUAAUUUUCAUAGUGAAAAAGCUUGAAUUUUUUAAAGGGACGAGAAGACCCUAUUGAGCUUAUAAUUUUAUUACUAUUGUGUUUUGUGAAUUAUCAUCAUAGUAUAUAAAUUUAAUUGGGGUGAUUAAGGAAUAAAUUUUAUGGUAUAACUUCCUUAUAUUAAUAUAUUGUUAGAUUGUGAACCGAUAUAGUUAACAUAGUGUGUUAGAGUAUUGCUUAUAAUAUAGUUACCAUAGGGAUAACAGCGUAAUUUACUUAGAGAGUUCUUAUUGAAAAGUAAGAUUGCGACCUCGAUGUYGGAUUAAAGUAACCUUAAGGUGCAGAAGCUUUAUAAGGUAAAUCUGUUCGAUUUUUAAAACUUUAC
Molecule: ribosomal RNA, 530 nt
Filed under: Uroteuthis duvaucelii
Lineage: Eukaryota; Metazoa; Mollusca; Cephalopoda; Myopsida; Loliginidae
Description: partial 16S ribosomal rRNA
Rfam family: Bacterial large subunit ribosomal RNA
Source: RNAcentral